ACGCCAAUACGACCAGUGUUGCUUCCAUAGACAAGCCAUACAUUGGGUCCAAAAUGGCUGUGAGAAUUCAGAAUCAAAAUGCAGGUCACUUGUACCAGGUCGCGGCACGCUUAGUUCAUCAAUCAAGGCUUUGUUUCUCCUGUAGAGGUCUGACUUCUUGUACAAUUCAGUAAAAUCAACUCCUAAUGCCAUUUCUUGAGAUGAGGCUGUGACUUCUAACAUCCAAGUUGCUGGAUUGUAACCUUCCACUAUUUUGCUUACUCCAGGUAUCGACUGAAAUCGUAACAAAUCUAAGCUUAGUUCUUGAUCAUAGAAACUCAGUAAAAGGAACUUAUUUUGUAUAAAGAAACUUACCUCAAAAUAUUUUAUCAAAUGGCAUGAUUGGCGGCCUAAUGGACCAACGUAUAUCUCUUGUCCUCCUCGUUUCAUAAGAAACAACUGUAAAGAUGUAUUUUUCAUAUUAGUAUCUAAUAUCUAAAGGGAAAAGCAUAAGAAAAACCAGAAAUAGAUGCAAAAGGUGUUCAAUUCACCUCGUCGAAAGCCUCAAAAAUGUCAAUGCUCGGCUGAUGAAUGGUACAAACAACGGUUCUUCCUGUAUCGACAGUGUUCCUAACAGCUCUCAUCACAAUGGCAGCAGCUCUUGCAUCUAACCCUGAAGUUGGCUCAUCCAUAAAAAUGAUAGAGGGGUUUGCCACUAGUUCAACUGCAAUCGUCAACCUUUUACGUUGCUCAGUUGACAGACCGUUGACUCCUGGCAACCCGACUAAGGCUGAUCUUAAUGGUGUAAGCUCCACAAGAUCCAUAACUUCAUCAACAAACAUCUGCAAUGAGAUAAUCAGUAAAAAAUUCUGUCAACUGCCACUUUAUUUAUAAGAUAAAUUCUCAUUAUGGAGUAAUGUAAGGGGAACUUACCAUCCUUUUUUGUUCAUCGAUGUCUUGAGGUAAACGCAGCCAAGCUGAGUAAACCAAUGACUCAAAAACUGUUACAUACGGUGAAUGGAUGUCAUUCUGUUCACAGUAUCCGGAAAUACGUGCAAAUGUUUCUUGCUUCUUGGGGUAUCCAGAAAUCUUGAUGCUCCCGUCAAUGUAACCUCCAGUUUUCCUUCCAGCCAAGACAUCCAUCAAGGUUGUUUUACCAGCACCACUAACACCCAUCAAAGCUGUGAGAACACCUGGCCUGAAAGCGCCACUUACACUCUUCAAAAGUACCAAUCUAUUGUCACUGGUACCUGACUCACUCAUUUCCUGCAUGUCAUCAGAAAAUUUAGUCACAUUUUGAUUUGAAGAAUGUUGAAGCACCAGUUUUUGAUGACUAGCAAUUUUUCGUUAAUUACCGGAGGCAUAUCAACGGAGUAUACAACUUCAUCAAAGGUGAUGGAGUGGGGAUCAAAUGGUAGAACCAUUCCCUUCUUCUUAUUCUCACUGACAGAAUCUCCUUCUUGUGUGCUAGUUAUCUGGGGUGAUGAUUCAGUAUUUUCGUUGUUCUCACUCUCGUCUGAAAUCGUAGCUUGUGGCUUAUCAAAUGCUGCAGAUACUCACUCCAUGUUAGUACAUGUCAUCUUUUUAUUUAAGGAUAUAUCGAUGAAGAAAAUCAUGGACACUCACGGUUAAGAUAAGCGAGAGCAACACUGUAGGCGAUGUUAAACAUAACUGUGAAUCCAGCAAGUGCCCCUACACCUAUCCAGUACCAAUAUGCAUCGGGGAAGAACCCUCGAGCUCUUACCACUGCAGCUCCAAGCGGCUCAGUUCCACCGGCUACAAUCUGUUUUACAAGAGAGUUGAUUCAGCAUUUAUACUUGAAGAACUUUUAUUACUUGCAAGGAGUAUAGGUAUUGAAAGUUACAUGUUUCCACUUUUGCCCAUCAAAUUCAUUCACAAGAAUUGCAUUCACAGAAUACAUCAACGGUGACGUCCAGUAUCCCCAAAUCCACCAAUCCUUCACAUCAUCUACACCAUUUUGGAGAAAAGAGAAAGUAAACAUUAGUCAUUGUACAAGACAAGAGCUAUGUAUUUCAAACGUCUAAAUCACAAACUUACUUCGCGCAAGCAUAAAACCGCCCAAUGCAAAUUGUAAAAGAAGAGCAAAUGCUCCAAAUGUGCUAGCAACUCCCAUGGUCCUUCCUACUGCUGCGAUAAAUCUGAACAACGCUGAUGCCAUCUGGUUUACUAGUAAGAGUAGCAAAAAUUGUUUGAAAAACCUGCAUAUAAGAUAGUCGAUCAAUAAUCAUGGGAGAAACCAUACUUGUGACAGUAAGCCAAUGAAUAUAUACCAUAGUCUUUCUUCACUUACCUUCCAACAUUGGGAUCAAAUCCGAUAACAUAAUACGUGAGGAACACCCACAUCCCAACUUCAGCAAAAGUUACAGGGAUUUUGAGGAUCCAUGAGGGAAUCGCGUAAGCCCAUGAAGGAUAGAAGAGAAAGUCCCUUUGCUUGUAGAAGACCGGAAGCUUGUAAAGUGUCAUAGGGAGCUCGGACAAACCAUUAAACAUAAUCAUAAUAACCACAAAAAAAAGAGCACCAGAAUAUAUGCUUCCAUCUUCUGCACUAUCCCGAGGCAUCUUAGUUCGGAAAAAUAUUGUCAUUGUCAUAAGUGCAAUUACCAGGAGCUGAUCAUAAAACAAAGAGAGGAUUAAUAAAUUGCACAUGGAUAUGAACAAAAUAAUGACAUAUAUCAAUAUAUCAAAUAGACUAAGUAGUCACCUGAAAGAACUUGAAGAGGUAAACAAAUGAGUUUCUUUGCAUUAGUAGUAGUUCUCUUUCAGUGCAAACCUUCAAGAGUUGUUUCUUCCCUAUACCAUACUUUUGAGUAGUCAAAGCAGCAGGGUGGCUUUUACUUUUGUCAAAUGUGGUUGCGAGCUCAUCGCUUACUUUUCUUCCAACAUGGAAAGACUGAUAAGCUUCAGCAAAUUCUUUUGAUGUGAUGAACCGGUAAGGCUCAUCCCUCCUUACCCAAUAUUGCUGCUGAUCCUUCUUAGACGUCACCUGCCACAAAAUCCAAAAGUUUCCAUCGUUAGAACCAACAAUGCAUUAUUGCUUCUAAUCAAAACUGAUUUAGAGAGAAGUGUUGAAACUGAUAAUAUGCAGUAACAUAUCACAUACUUCUUGCAAGAAGUCAGCGGCGCCUUUUCUCUCAGGGCAUUUAAAUCCCAUGGAUUCAAAGAAGUUGAGCACGUCCUCUCGCGGACCCUGAUAAACAAUAUACCCGUCGGAUAACAGAAUAAUAUCAUCGAAGAGGUUGUAGGUUUCGGGGGCAGGUUGCAAGAGAGAAAUCAGAGCUGUUCCCUUCAUGAUUCGAACAGAUUGCUUUAGGGAAUUCACAAUGGAGUAAGUAGUGGAACUGUCCAAUCCAGUUGAUAUUUCAUCCAUGAAAAGUGCUUUAGAGGGUCCAACAAUCAUUUCACCAGUCGUCACACGCUUCUUCUGUCCUCCUGAAAUACCCCUUAUCAUUUGAUCUCCCACCAUAGUAUCUGCACAAAUAUCCAGUCCCAGUAUCUGCAAAAUGGAAUUUACGAACAAAUUAAUAACUUAUUUAUCAAAUUCUCCGUGCUUUCAAUAGCUCUAAUGUAAGAAAAGUCAUUGGAAAAUGAAUGUUACCUUAAGAAUGUAAUCUGUAACCACUUUGGCUUCUUGUCCUUCUGUUGAUGCAGCCUACAUUUCCAUUCAACAAUAAGAAUAUUAAUUAUUCACUCUGUUUCUUAAGAAAAAGGAAAAUUGUGCUACCUGAAAUAUCUCAAAGAAUUUUUUUUAUUAUUAUAAUUUAACAUAUUACCAGUUAAGAGAAUUGAGUUUCUUUCUUACCUUCAUGAACAUGUCAAUAUCAGCAUCUGGUUUAAUAUUAGCUGCUUUCUCUCUUCUUGACAGUUCAGCCAACAUUUCUGGAAAAUAAUUCAAGAACAAUAAUUCAAAAAUCAUAAUUGAUUUAAUUUCACUAUAAAUAUCGAAAGGAUUCGACUUAUAUACACUAACAGCGCAAAGAAUUUUUACACUCUUAGUAUAAUAUAACAUGCUAUAGAAUUCUUCCUAUUUUAUUUUUCAGAUAACCACAGUCAGACCUCUCUAUAACAACAUCCCUAUAUAAUAACACUUCGCUAUAAAAGCCAUGCUUUUCCGGAAACUGAUACUGAAAGCCAAGGUGACGAGAACUAACCAUAACGAGAACCAACUCCUUGACAUCUUGCAGAGAACUCCAAAGUUUCUCUGACAGUCAUUUCUCCAAUAUGCAAAUCAUGCUGGCUAAUAUAAGCGGCAGUUCUUUGUGGCACAAACUCAUGUAAUUCAUGUCCAUUAUAUGUUACCUUUCCAGUAACCUGAUUUUCAAUCACAUUAAAAAAAACUUAGUCUUAUAUUCUUAUUUAAAAAACAAAACAACUUUUCUUUAUAAGUUGUUUUUAAUAUUUUUGGAAUUUGUAGUGAUCUUACCUUUAGAGCAGAGUCAAGUUUUCCAGCCAAAGCAAGUAACAAAGUAGUUUUUCCAGAACCAGGAGGUCCCAAAAGAAGAGUCAUUCUACAGGGCUUAACUAUGCCACUAACAUCCUUGAGAAUUGUAACUUGCCUUUUUCUUGAUGGAAGGAUAUGAAUUGAAUCCAAUAGGCCCUUUAAAACCAACAAAAGAAGAAGAAAAAAGUUAGUUUAAGAACACCUUGGCCUAAUUUGCAUAUUCUCUCCUUGUUUGUUGUUAUUUAUGUUAUUGUUAUGGUUGCCAUAAUCCACGGAUUCGAGCCAUGGAAGCAGUCAGACUGUCUACAUCACACCACUAGAAUCAUGCAUGAAUGCGGAUGCUUUGUGCAACGCACUACUUUUUAUGGUUACCAUAAUUACCAUUGAUUCAAUAGUCAUAUGGUUCUUCAAUCAAAAUACUUAUUUACCAUUUUUAAUUUGUGGCAGUAAUUUAUUAAAAAAAAUUCAAGAAUCAUACCAAUUAAUCUAUCUUUUUUCCUUUGUGGCAACAGUAAAGCAUCAAAUUCUUUAUAGAUGAUACAUACAUAGAUAUACACAUGCUUUUUUAUACAUACAUACAGAAACAAUAUAAAUCAAAUAUUUUUUGAGAUUCUUACCUCAACGAAGUUAGAAAUGAAGUUGGUAAAUGUAGGCAAAGCUCUGCUUCCUACAUAUGCAUCUGCGUCGAUAUUUAGAUGCUCAAAUCUCACUUCUAUUGAUGGAAAAUCGAUCCCAACCCUGUUUUUUUCACACAAAAAAAAAAAGAAUCAAAACUUAGCACCAAAUUAAAUAAGCAAGGAAACCCAACUCAAUUAGAACCAAUUUUUUUAGUGUAUCUCUAUAACAACAUCUCUAUAUAAUAUAUAAUAGUUAUUCACUGAAAAAGUCAAGUUUGUUUUGGAACCAAUUUUUGUAUUAUGUUAUAGUAUAUAUCCUAUAUAACAUUACUAUAACAGCAAACAGGGUUAUUAUGGAGAGAUUUGACUGUCUUUGUAGCUGUUUUUUAGCUAACCUCAUAGUAUUAAAAUCCUUUGCACGAUUGGCAUAUAGAAAUUAAACUCAAAGUGAAAUUUAGAAAAGAAAUGAUUUCACUUGCCUGUCAAUUCUAUUCUUGAGUUUUAACAAGAACUUCUCAUUAUCUUCAUCAGCAACUUUAACAAGUCUCUCAAGCAAAUUCUUUCUUUCUAAAACACCAAGAUCAUCUACAUCAACUUCAGCAGCAGCACCUUGUGAUCCAAAUAAUAUACCUUUUCUUAAUCUAUCAUAAGUUGGUAAUUUUUCAAGUGCAGCCCAUUUAAGUGCUUCUUCAUCAUCUUCAUCCCUUGCCGAACGCGAAAAUACUUCAGCACCAUUAUUUCUCCAUAUUGAAUUGCUAUUUUCUCUUAUACUUCCUCUCAUACUUCCCCUUAUACUUGCUCUUAAACUUCGGCCUCGCAAAUUACUUAAAUCUGCUGGCUCCAUCUUGAGCACUAAUUAAGCAACUCGACUUUCAAAAUAUUUUAUAAAUGAUCAAAUGAACUGAAAAUGUGAAAUUAGUGUAAUCUUCUUUAUUAGAAGAACAAAAGAAUAGAAGGAGAAGUUAAGAGUAGUUGUCUAAGGCAAAGGUAUUAUAUAGCAGCAGGAAAGAAAAGGAAGGGGCGGCUAUAGCAUUGUUUUAUUUUUUAAUUGGUCGUAUACAUGCAUAGUACUUUGGUCUUUGGAAUUAUUGCCCUAACAUUUUGACGAAAUUUAAUUUGAAUUAUUUGACGUAUACAGUAAUUGUAGAGAAAACUUCUAUAAUCACUGUUCAUAAGGAGUCAUAUGUGACCAAAUGAGAAAAAGACUUGAAAGAAACUUCGAGGGUAAUUAAUGUGUGAAUUAUUGGAAUAGGAGCUUAUAAUUUGGAGAGGCAGCAGUCAAAGCAGCCAAAGAAAAAUAGCCGCCAGCCACCAGCGUCUAGAAACAUGCCAAGUCAGCAUAGCAAAUUAAAUAUUAUUUUAUUUAUAUUAUUAAUUUUGAUUAAAAUAUUUAUCUAUAAUUAAUUUAACAGAAUUUAUAUAUGCUUUUAUUUGAUUUUAAUAACAUUGAGCGGGAGAAAAUAAAAUGUGAAUGUUGCAACAAGCUGAUUGGGCAAGGAGAAUCAACUAGUUUAGUUUUCUAACUAUUUCAGAUUUUAAGCGAGGCAAUGAAGCAGUAACUAUUCUUUUUCAACUUCAAAACUCUCCAAAAUGAAUUCUGCCCCUGUAUAUUCAGUGUAUCCAGAAUGUAUAUCGGGUGUAUACUUCUCACUCCGCCCCCUCUUUUUUUCUUCUCUCUAUCUAAUUUUUCCUCUUUUUUUUCCACCCCUUUCUUCCUAAAUUUUCUCUUCUAUUUAUAGCAUGAUAUGAGUAGGCUAGGGAAUAUGCUAACAUCAUGCAAGCGUAACUACUAACUACUCACCGUAUUGUGAGUUACUCAUAUCUCACAAAGAUUUAAGUAACGUUUUAAAAGAAGUUUAAAGUUGAUGUUACGGUUUUUUUUCAAAUAAUCAUUGUUUGAUGAUCUCAAAUUCUUAUCCCUGAGCAGCAUGUCAAAGUAAUUUCAUACUUCGGACGAAAGUUUACCUGUGCUUUUGUUUCUUGAAUAAAUUCUUUCAGACUCUGCUUUUUUACUUUGUGUUAGUGAAGAGCUCUUUAUGAAAUUUUCAUUCUUUGAGUUAAAUUAGGAAUUUUUUACUUUUUUUUAACCAAACCUGUGAGAUCACCCUAAUAUUUGCUAGUAACGACAUUAUAUUGAUCUUGUACAUUUCCAAAUUCUGGGCUUUGUAAUUCUCGCAAUACUAGUUUCUAUUUUCCUCUUUUCUUUUUCUUUUUAUGGCAUGUGGAGAAUGAUGAUGAAAUUAAGAAUUGCCAAAUGCCUUUUUAGCUUGACUCUUCAAAUAUAUCUAGAAAGAAGCUAGCUGAGCUGAGAUUUUUCCUCUAACUUUGAAGUUGCUUAAUAUAAUAAACGACGAAUAUAAGGUCCAUGAGAUUAAUAUAUCAUAUCAUGAUACUAAUCAAAGUGCAAUCAGUUGAUUAGUUGUCUUAAUUACCAAUUCUACUGUUUAAGAAUUGUACAAACACUAAAAGUCAUCAAAUUUGCAAUAUUUUUUAUCCAUUUUAAAUUUGUAAUAUUAGAAAAGGAAAAAUUACAUUUUUUAAUUAUAAUAUAUUUUCUGACGGGAAGUUAUGUUUUAGACAAUUAAUAUACAAAUUAUCUAGUAACUUUCUUCUUUGACCAAAACCUUCUGGUCCUUUUACGUAAAUAAGCAAAGUAAGAAUAACGAACUGCGAGGAAAAGUAGUAAAAACACAGAAAAGAGAUGCAGCCUUGUAAGGUUGACUUGGUUGUUGUUGUUGAAGAACUAGAGAUUUUUGAAAUUUCAUUUAUCACGCUGAAUCUUCUAUCACAACCAAAAAAAAUAUAAGGAAAAAAUGGUCAUAUUUGUUCAUAUGCUACUAUUUGAAAUUGAGAAUUUUUGUGUGAAUCGAAUCUAUCCCGGCCUUAGCAAAAAUAAAAAAAAAGCUCGUUUUUGUUUGCCUUUGAUCUCUGAUUGGGGCUCUAACGUGAAGGAUAACUCUCAUUAAUUUUAGAUCAUAGACAAAAAGUAAUAAAUUUGGACUUUUUUUCUUCAAAAUUUUUUGAUACGUGGAGUGCAUACAUUUCACAUUUGACUAUACGUGAAAUAGAUUUACAUAGUUACUGGUGUAUGGGUUAAAAUCUGACCACAAGAUGGUUGUCCUUAAAAGGAACGAUAAGUGAUCGACCAAGCCGUAGUCUUAUCCACGAGGCGUAACAGCAGCGAGCAUCUCGACAACUGCCGAGAUCGAGCUGUCAGAAGGCCUGCACGACAACACAUACGUCAUACCACCCGGGCAAGUAAGGAAGAGUAUAGUCAUGAGAUGGUCUGUUGGGUAGAGACCGUUGGAUAAAGGGAAAGGUUGAUAAUAUAUAUAUAUAUAUAUAUAUAUAUAUAUAUAUAUAUAGGAGGANNNNNNNNNNNNNNNNNNNNNNNNNNNNNNNNNNNNNNNNNNNNNNNNNNNNNNNNNNNNNNNNNNNNNNNNNNNNNNNNNNNNNNNNNNNNNNNNNNNNNNNNNNNNNNNNNNNNNNNNNNNNNNNNNNNNNNNNNNNNNNNNNNNNNNNNNNNNNNNNNNNNNNNNNNNNNNNNNNNNNNNNNNNNNNNNNNNNNNNNNNNNNNNNNNNNNNNNNNNNNNNNNNNNNNNNNNNNNNNNNNNNNNNNNNNNNNNNNNNNNNNNNNNNNNNNNNNNNNNNNNNNNNNNNNNNNNNNNNNNNNNNNNNNNNNNNNNNNNNNNNNNNNNNNNNNNNNNNNNNNNNNNNNNNNNNNNNNNNNNNNNNNNNNNNNNNNNNNNNNNNNNNNNNNNNNNNNNNNNNNNNNNNNNNNNNNNNNNNNNNNNNNNNNNNNNNNNNNNNNNNNNNNNNNNNNNNNNNNNNNNNNNNNNNNNNNNNNNNNNNNNNNNNNNNNNNNNNNNNNNNNNNNNNNNNNNNNNNNNNNNNNNNNNNNNNNNNNNNNNNNNNNNNNNNNNNNNNNNNNNNNNNNNNNNNNNNNNNNNNNNNNNNNNNNNNNNNNNNNNNNNNNNNNNNNNNNNNNNNNNNNNNNNNNNNNNNNNNNNNNNNNNNNNNNNNNNNNNNNNNNNNNNNNNNNNNNNNNNNNNNNNNNAAGGGGGAUCCCAUAAAAGAAAAAAGAGGAGCAAUGUAUCAAAGCGAGAAUAAAAGGAGAUCCCCAACAACAAAUCAACAGCCCAGAUUUUGGCUACAACUUUUUGUAAUCAUCAUUGUUGAAUCAACAAAGAUAGAUCUCUUAGUUAUCAACAACUUUCCCUCUCUUUUCCUUCUUUGCUCUCACAAAUACGGUACAAACAUAUCAAAGAUGUAAGCUUAUUAUUUACAUUUGAUGUCUGGCAAUCAUCUUAAGGAAUCUUAUAUAAACUUAACCUCCUUCGAUUGUGAUAUUCAAUAUAUUUGGAUUUAGAGCUAAUUAUGUUUGACUAAGAUUUACCUUUUAUUCUCUAUCUCAUCAUUAAUUAGUUUAACUAAAAGGUUUAACACUUUUUUGGUAAAACAAUUUGGCGCCGUCUAUGGGGAUUUCUUAACCAAAUUUUUUAGUUUCCCUUAAAUCUAGAACCACCCAAAUAUCACUACCAGGCUGUCAUGGCCUCACCAUCUCAGCAAAAACACCAACUCGGAAGAAUGGUAGGUAAGCCUUCGAGAUAACCGUACCAAUUUUGGUCAGAUCUCUACAUAAAAUAGAAGUUAUAACCAAUGUCUAUGCAAAACCCACGUCUCACCUGUAAUGAGGGGUUUGGCACGCCGCAUGCAUGUUUAAAAUAGAAUCACGGUCAUUAUGCGUUUGGCAUGACCGCAACCCCAUUUGACGUAUUCACCUUAUAAUACCGACCCGUAUUCCUACCUCUUAGUAAGGGACGAUAGCCUACUGUGUGAUCCUUCGGAACAUCGGGCAUAUCCUACCAUAUUUUCGUACCCACACACACUGGAUGAUUUAUUAUCAAAGUAUGACACGUUUCCCUUAUUGUUUGUGCAUAUCGAACGAGGUCAGAUUGGAACUAGGUCUCGAUGUCCCAACGGGCGAGGUAAGUCCAACCCACGCAAAGUGUAGACGCGAUUAAUGACGAAGCUGAACACAACUGCCAAAUCUGAAGCCGUCAUUCAAAUACAAAGUGAAGCGAGCAACCCUACAACGCCGUUCCUCCUUUCGCCGACUUGCCAGGCCAAGGUAACAGGCGAUUUCGUUUGGUUUUAACUUACCACUCUCUCUUGUUAGUUCAGAAUAGGAAAUGCACAGUAUUCUCCAAUGAAAGCAAAAGCAAACUGGGACUCACCCAAGAAACGUACAAUAUUCUCCGGUAAAAGCAAAACCAAGCACACUGGGACUCACCCAGGAAACAUCAAUAUUCUCCAGUAAAAGCAAAACCGAGCACACCGGGACUCACCCCGACGCAUGCAUAAACAAUACGGUGACGUAUGAUGUUCUCCAAAAAAAAAUAAUACAACGGGUUACGAUUUCGACCUUGCUCGAAAUAACACCCCUACAGCCAUCAACCUUCGCCAAAACGAGACAUUCAACCUCGCUUUACAAUAGGUUACAAUUUCGACCUUGCUCGAAAUAACUCCCAUACGGCCAUCGGCAUUCGCCAAGAGAGAAAUUCGACUUCGCUCGAAUUACAACGGGUUACUAUUUCGACCUUGCUCGAAAUAACACCCUUACGACCAUCGGCCUUCGCCAAGAAAGACAUUCGACUUCGCUCGAAUUACAACGGAUUAAUAUUUUGACCUUGCUCGAAAUAACAACCCUACUGCCAUCGGCCUUUUCCAAGAAAGAAAUUUGACUUUGCUCGAAUUACAACGGGUUACUAUUUCGACCUUGCUCGAAAUAACGCCCCUACGGCCAUCGGCCUUUGCCAAGAGAGAAAUUCGACUUCGCUCAAAUUACAACGGGUUACUAUUUCGACUUUGCUCGAAAUAACACCUCUACGGCCAUCGGGCUUCACCAAGAAAGAAAUUCGACUUCGCUCAAAUUACAACGGGUUACUAUUUCAACCUUGCUCGAAAUAACACCCCUACGUCCAUCGGCCUUCGCCAAGAAAGAAAUUUGACUUCGCUCGAAUUAUAACGGGUUACAAUUCCGACCUUGCUCGAGAUAACACCUUUACAGCCACAGGCCGCCGUCAAAUAAAAGACAAGUUCGAACUCAUUCAAAUAUGAAUCAGAAAUUGACUUCGCCCAAGACGACGACUCCAAGUUCGAACUCGUUCAAAUAUAUGACAGAAAUUGACUUCGCCCAAGACGGAGACUUCAAUUCAAACUUGUUCAAAUAUAAGUUAGAAAUUGACUUCGCCCAAUACAACGACUCCAAUUCGAACUCGUCCAAAUAUAAGUCAGAAAUUGACUCCGCCCAAGACGGCGACUCCAAGUUCGAACUCAUUCAAAUAUAAGUCAGAGCUUGACUUUGCCCAAGAUGGCGAGUCUCAAUUCGACCUCGUUUGAAUCAAGAUCGAUUCCGCCCAAAUUGGCAAACCAAAAGUCAAUCUCGCCCAAACUGGCAAGUCCAAAGUGACUUCAUCCGGACUCAUACAAUGAGAUCCUACCCGAUCAGCGCAAGGUCGACUUCCCAAUUAAAAUGAUGAGGGACUCAUCACAAAGAAAUCUGAAGGUCUACGCCAAAAAGAGAAAUAUAACAAAUGGGAGGGAUAGAUAAAAAAAUCAAAAUAUAUACAAACAAAGGCGAAGCAACUGUUUCAUUUAAAUACACGUGCGCAACAGUCGCACCUUACAAAAGGCUGAAACAGGCCCAAAAAAAGACGAAUAUAAACAACAAAAGAAAAAAAAACUAAGUACAAAUGUUACAUCAAAGUUUCACUCGGCGUCAUCCCCGUCGUUGUUCUCCCAAACAUCGCCAUCAUCAGAAAGGAGCCCAUCCUCAACAUCAACGCCCUCACUAGCCUCCGGUGUCGCAGGGUCGUAACCACAGGCAGUACGAGCCUCGUGUGCCUUUGUCCGAGCAUCUUCGAAAGAGGCCUCUGAAACACUCCCUACCUCCCACAAACCAUUGUAUAUAUCUCGCUAGGCCUCGGCGUGGACCCAUAACUUGUACAAGCGGCGGGGGACCGCGACAGAGGCAGAUCCAACCUAGGUCAAUAGUUGUGCCUUCUCGGCCUCGAGUGCCACGACCCGAUCUCCUAGGCUCAAAGCCUCCCGGUCAAUUUCACCAAUACGCUCCUUGAGCCGCGCCUCCCUCAGCGUGGCCGUUGCCCUCUUAGAUUACUGCUCAGAUCUGAGGACGCGGAUAGUGUCCUCUAGCACCGCCACUCUAGUCAAGGCUGACGUCCGAGCAUCUUUGGCGCUUUCCAUCUUGGCCACUUUCUUAUCCAACUCGGCCAAUUUCCCCAUCCAUUCUGCGCUCAAAGCUUCAACUCUGGUAGCAUUCUUCUCAAGUUCGGCUUGCAAAGACAACACCUUCGCCUGAAGGUCCGCGCACUCCGCGGUAACUCCCUUUCCCACCUCGAGCUCCUCAUUCUCGGCGUGAAGCAGCUCCUCAAACUCACUGCAUCUGCGGAUAGACUACAUCAGGUCCUCAUCUCUUUUCUCCAACUCCUCCCUGGUAGACUAGGUACUGGCACCCAUUCUGAGCUGCUCAUGCAUCUCACGACACCUUUUAUGGUACCGACGAUACUUCUCGGCCAUCUUUAGAAAAAUCACGGCCGCAUCUCGGCUCUACGAGAAUUCUCGACCUCUAGCAUUUAGGUAUAACAGAAAGGAGGGAGGAAAGAAGUUAAUGAUAUAAAAAAAUGAACGAAGGUCACCAAAGGAAACAAAGAGAAACUCACCCUCAGGCCCAGAGUGGCCACACCGCGUGACAACUCAGAGUCGCUGACAUCCUGAAGAGCUCCUCUCUCAACAGUGGAGCACAAAAGAUCGAAUUGCGGCACAAUGUCCACCAUAUCUUGCAGCAGGUUGAGUUCGGACGAAAUUUUGAGUAUUCGAGAAGGGCCUCCCACUUCUACUACGGUCCGAGUAAAACCCUCCUCAAACAUCCUCAUAUCAUCAGGAUCAAUGUCGAACUCAGAUUCAUAAUCGUCAACCACGACGCCCUUUCCCCUCUCAUUAGCCGAAGAGGAGGCGCGGUUCGGUUGCGAUGUUGAAGGACCAUCUGAAACAGCAAUGACGGCCUUAGAACUCUGUCUCUCCGCCACAUCAACCCCUUAUACGCUCGCAACAUGCGUCAUCUCUGCGGCCGGGUUGGCACCACAUUCGAUUUCGAUCACCGCCGUGGAAAGGACGCCCCUCGAAGAAGUUUCAACCGGGGAAACUCCUUCCAACACCACCCUCCGUCUCUUCGGUGGGGCCACCCUACUACUUGCAUGGGAGGAUUCGCCCGUAGAACGACUGCAUGAGUCAGAAUCUCUGGCUGAGUAACCUUCAAGCGCACAACUUCGGCCGUAGGUGCAGGCCGGACAGUAGAUCUUGGAGCUGGCCGGGCAGAUGCACAAUAUCCUUUCCCGUCGGCACUAUUUUGACAUUAGCAGGGAUUCCCUACUUAGCUUUGAGCACAACGAUCGCCGCCUCAUCCAUAGUGGAAGGAACGGGCUCCGGCUCACUUCCUGAAGGGCCGUAAAAAUCAGUCCUCGCCUUCCCGGGACAAGGAACUAUUUCAUCCACCGUUGGAAAUCCCUCAUCUUCCACUACAUCCACUCCCUCUUCGAGUAGGGAUGCGUCGCUUUCCGGUACCGGAGCAUCAACAGCCCUAUCGGAUUGGGAAGAAGUGCUAGUUAUUUGUCUCUUUUGAUCGAAGUAAGCAGGAACGGUGAGGGAAAAGAGAUAGUGGUCGCUUCAAAUUCUAUCGAAAGCAGCAAUAUGAAAGAGCAGAGGAUGAGGAAGUUUGUAAAGUUCUUUCUCAAGUAAAUUGAAAAACACAACAAUCAAAUAAGAGAUUCCCCCUAUUUAUAGGAACAUAAAUGUCCUGAGUGGGAAACCCAAGAGCCGCCAAUCAAAAAGCUGAAAGGCAUGAAAAACGAUACGGUGCGUGGGAAACGAGCACCAUAAUGAUACAUAUGGGUAUUCAUGGUAUCCUGAAUCGAUAUGACGAUCCAACUCUGAACUGACGUAACGGUCCAAUGAGACCCCUAAAGCGUCACGUCUCCACCUCGCCUUAAGGACCUCAUUCGCGCAUAAUGUUCAGAUUUCUCCUAACUUUUGAAUCAACAGAAUCUGCCCAUCGAGCUCACCAAAGGACGACCCCGACGGGCGGAGAGACUAACUGUAUGGGUCAAAAUCUGACAACAAGAUGGUUGUCCUUAAAAGGAACGAUAAGGGGUCGACCAAGCCGUAGUCUUACCCACGAGGCGUAAUAGCGGCGAGCAUAUCAAAGAUGUAAGAGGAGCAAUGUAUCAAAGCGAGAACAAGAGGAGAUCCCAACAACAAAUCAACAGCCUAGAUUUUGGCUACAACGUUUUGUAAUCAUCAUUGUUGAAUCAACAAAAAUAAAUCUCUUAGUUAUCAACAACUUUUCCUUUCUUUUCCUUCUUUGCUCUCACAAAUAUAGUACAAACAUGUCAAAGAUGUAAGCUUAUUAUUUACAUUUGAUGUAUGUCAAUCAUUUUAAGGAAUCUUAUAUAAACUUAGCCUCCUUCGAUUGUGAUGUUCAAUAUAUUUGGAUUUGGAGUUAAUUAUAUUAGGCUAAAAUUUACUUUUCAUCUUAUAUAUCAUCAUUAAUUAGUUUAAUUAAAAGAUUUAAUACUUUUUGGCAAGGAUAAAUACGUGAAUAUUUGCUAAUGACAAGAACAUGAAUAUAUACCUGAGCAAUUUUGAAUAAUAGCAUAAAUAAUUUUGGACCUUUUUCAAAGAAAAAAAUUCAAAAGGUUUUCCACUUGAUUAGGGGUUUCAAUGAUUAGGUUCCUCCGGAUAUUUUAUAAUAUAUAUACCAUGCCAAUUUUUCGGUUAUUCUAUUUUAUAUAACAAAAAUUAAACUUUUUAAAACCAUCCUAAUCAUUUUGGUUUCACUUAGGUAUUGGUAAGGUUCAGUUAAUUUUUGGUAAUUUAUUAAAAUGUCAUGUAAGAGUCACUAAUAGAAGCUAGUUAGAACGCGAUAAAAUACGUACUUACUUUGGACUUUGGCAAAACUCUCUAGACAUUUUUAUAGUUUAAAAGAUGAACCAAGGAAAUAUGAGAUAUCCAGAAUAGAGAUUUAUCCCACUAUUCUACUACAACAUAAGAAAAUUUGAGCAAAGACAAAAGAAAUAUACAUCACACGAGUUGAAAUAUAUUAACCACGAUUGGACUCAAAAAUAGAGUCUAUUAGAAGAUUAAGUAUACAAUAUGAAAAAUCCAAAUUAUACGAGAGUAAAAAGAUUCAAUGCCUUAUGGUUGUUACACAAGAUCGUUAGAAUACUUGUGUCUUGCUACUCAAGAUUAUAGCUAGAACUGAUUUAGCUUCAAUAAAAGUAGCAUCAUAGGUUGGUAUUUUUACCUAUCUAUACUAUAUUAUUGGGAAAAUUUCAUAUAAGAACAACUGGGCUUCCUACUUUUCAAUUUUAUAGCCCAUAUUUUAAUUUACAACCAACUAGCUAUUCCAAAUAUAAUAGGCUAAGAUUCAAUAUCCAACUCCAAUAGAUUCUAGAAAUUACUAUUUAAUUUUUAAAAAGAUUGCUCAAGCCUUUAAGUUAAUUUUCGAAUCAGUAACUGUGACUUAAAUAUUAGUUCAACAAAUCAAAUCUAUUUGGGUGGUGAAAAUUAGAUUUUUAACAAGUUUAAAUAUGUGGGUUUAAAUUCCUAAUUUAAUUUUGUGAGAAAUUUGGAGCGAGUGUUAUUUAGACUUGUUAGAAAUAGUAUAAAGAGGUAGUAUAUAAAAUUUGAAGUCAUUUAAUGAAGAUUUGGACUGGUUUUGAACAAGAAUUGUAACUGAAAAAUCGUGGAAGAAGUUUGUCUACAAACGAUUGUAUAAAUGUGUAUAAAAGUGCAUAAUAUUGUAUAAGAUGUAUUUAUACAUUCAUAUACACUAUUAUACAAGAUUAUACAUAAUUAUACGAAAAACUGACUUCGUCUUCUUCAUUGAUCUUUUCUGAAAUUUAACUCAAAUCUUACUCAAAUCUACUCCAAAUCACUUUAAAUUUAAAUUUUGAACUCCUUUUAAUAUUUUUAAUCAAUUGGAACAACAUCCAAUUCAAAUAACUAACUCAAAAAAUCCUAUUUUCGAACGCAAAGCUUUGAAUGGUUUUCAAUGGUGGACUUCUACUCUUCAAUUUUCUUACAUUGCAACCAGGUGACACAAAGGGAGAAGCAGUAAUGGCGGACGACCCCUUGAAGCAUAUGUAGAAGAUGUGAGAAGAAGAGAGAGUGAAAGCAAUGGUUGUGAGAAUACAGAUUUAACUCCAUGGCUUUUAGAAGCAAUGGUUGUAAGAACACAGAUUUUAAAUUUGCUAGUGCUUUCAAAAUAUGUACAAUAUGGGCUAGGUCGGGUAAAACUUAAAAAUAUGGGCUAUUUUAUGUUAUGGUGUGAAGUCACGUGUAUUUUCUUGUAAUUCUUUCAACUUUAUUUACCUUCCCUAAUCAAGUUUUAACUUAAUUACAUGGUCAUAUACAACUUACCAAUUAUACACAAAUUAGUUUUAAAUGAGAAUCCCUUUAUAUGAGGAAUUGAAUAAGGAAUAUCAAUUAUUUUCCCAUAUACAUGCUCUCUCUCUCUCUCUUCUUCUCUCUCUCUCUCUCUCUCUCUCUCUCUCUCUCUCUCUCUCUCUCCCCUUCUCUAUUCUUUCUCCAAUUUUUCUUCCAUUGAUGUUCUCUACUUUUUAUCCUUUCAUGUUGUAUAUAGUUUUAAUGGAAGAAGAAGAAGAAGAACUAACAUAAAAUAUACUUACAAAAUUAUAUUAAAAUUGUAUUUAAGUUGUAUUCUGUGGUAGUUAUCUAUUAUUUUAUUUGAAUGUGGUAUAAAAGUUGAAAAAUAGUUGUAUAAUAUAUGAAUCAUUGUAUAAAUUUGUAUUUAAAUUAUAAAUACUUUCUUUUUACAUAGCUAAUAUGUAUCAAAUUUGUAUUAAAAGAGGAAAUUUUGAUUGAAAUUUCAGAGAAUAAGAAGAACACACUCAUACAAAAAUAUAUAAAUCAUAUACAAAAUACAUACAAAAGACAUAUUAUAUACUAUUUGUAUAAAAAUUAUAUUUAAAUUGUUUGAUGUUGUAGUUGUAUUUAACUAAGUAAAAAUAAUAUAUGAAAGUUUUAGAUACGUUAUAAAUAAUUGUGUACUAUAUAAUUAGUUUUAUAAAAUUUAUUUUUAGUUUAUAUGUUGUAGAUAUAUCAAAUUUGCAUCAAAUUUGAAUAUUCCGGCAUUUAAGUUGUCUGGUUUAGGUAUUGUCCAUCGUCAAUGUCUCUAUUGUUUUGGUUUAGUGCUGAGGGAUAAACACAAAUUACUGGUCAAUGGUCGCUGAAUCCGUAGCAUCACUUCUUGAUAGAUGCCACUCUACAUGAUUAUUUAUUGUAUACAAAUAUAAUGGAAUUAUGAAUAGAAUGGGUGCUAAAUCCAAAUAAUGGAGUUACAAAUAUAAUUUAUUGAACAACUUUUGAAGUAAUGAUGGAGUUAUUUGGCGAGUUAAUAAUUUGUGUUAGGUUUGCAUUCUAGUUUAGGGGCUUCUGGUAUAUACGUUCUUUAUCUUCCACAAUGUCUGCCCCCCCUACCCUACCCUAUUGGGAGAGACGUGAUAUAUAUCUUCACAAGAAAUGACUGUGGAGAACGCAUAUGAAACUGUACAAAUCAUCUCCAACCAACUCUUAAAGCAAUGAGAUCAUAAAAUUAAUUUUAAAAUGGGCGUUGAAUCCAAAUUGUCGGCGUCACGCCUGGUUAGAUUACUUAAUUUAUGCAUUAACUCUCUCAAACUAUUGUAUAUGGAGAGAGGUGGCAAAGAAAAAAGAAAAAGAGGGUAAGUGAAUCCCCAGCACCAAUAAUGAAUUUGAAUAUGGAGAGAGACGAUAGAGAAUAAGGAAAGAGGAGGGGAGAGAAAAAAAAAAAGGAAAAGGUUAUAAAUGAAUCCCCUAAUUUAAGGCACUAAUAAAUAUAUAAAUUGUAAGCAAGCCUUGUUUAGGGUGGGUAAUAUAUACAAUUAGGACAAUUUUGGUAAAUAAGUUUCAAAUAUUGUAUAGGAAGGAAAAAAUCUCUUUGCAUAAUCGCAAGGCCCAAGAAAAAAAUAAUGUUUUGUUAUUUUUAACUUAAUAUAUAAAAUACAUUUUUCUUAUAUAAAAUUAUUCGGGACGGUUCCGUAUUUUUUCGAUUUAUUUUUGAAAUAAAAAUCUAUCCUAAUUAUCGAUACGGUUAUAAUUUUAUAUAAAAUCUAUGAUUUUAUUAAAAGAAACCUAAUUAUCACUUCGAUACAUGUCAGUUCGAUCUAUUUCGAUUUUUAAAAAUCCAUUGACGCCCUAUCCUUGAAGCCAAACGCUCAUUAACAUAGGCAACGUCAAUAAUAAACUUUGAUUGACAAUUAAGCGACCUUCUCGAAUGGCCUACUAAUCGUAGAAUUGUCUAUGUUGGAAUAGUUAUUGCACAACAAUUUUACAUUGGAUGGAAGUUGGACUAAUUAUACAUUGCAGAAAAACUUUUGAGCAAAAUUUCUCUUACAAACGCUCCCAAAUCUUGAAUUUCGGCAAAUACUCUUUGAAAUCAUACCCCAAAAUCAAGUCUGUAACAAAUUUAGCCAUCUUGGUAAGCAAAAUUAGUUUAGCCAUCUAAGUUACUUUUAUGCAAUACACUUAGCGAUUGAGAAAAAAUUACCCGUCCACUUUCAAUGUUUACGUGCAUCAAAUCAAAUAAUUUAACUCUAACAACUGCACAAACCAAAGUUAGAAUACAAAUUUAUUCAUAGCUAACUCAUAAAAAUUUAUAUGCAAUAUACACAAGUCUUUGCAUUUAUUUGUUUGACGCAAACAUUACGUACAAAUGAAUAUUUUUCGUUUACCCGUCAAAAUCCACUAGUUCUUUAAUAUUUUUAACAGCCAUGAUGUGAAAAUGACUCAAAGUUGAGUUUUCAAACUCUUGAACAGCAAUCGUGCAUGUGCCUAUUAUAUAAACCCUUAAACUAUUGUAAUUUUCUUUUGAUGUCCGACACAUUUAUCUAUAUUUAGUCUUAUUUUAAUGCCCUUCACUAGUCUUAUAAACUUUAUUUGUCAAAAUGUUACAACUAUAAGAAUCUACCAUUUUUCAUUAGCUCAAUAUAUAUAAACAGAAGUUUUCUCGUCUUCCUUUGCUUCUUCCUAAAGAAUCAAGCAAAAUUACUUUUUUCCUAUUUUGCAUAUAUAAUAUGGAUGUUAGUUUGAUACAUGGCACUAAGAGUACUUUGAAGGCUCACAAAGUUCUUUCAUUGAAGAAGCUUCACCACUUUCCAUCGAAGAAACUGCAUAAUCAAAGUGCAAAAGGUGAAUAUCUUUUUUUACCAUUUUCAAAUUAUUGUGCUUAGGCGAAAUUAUAAUAUAUCCUUUUUAGUUUACGAUCUCCGGCUGAUAUUCAGAUGCAAAUACAGAAUUUAGAGAUAGUGAGUUAAAAAUGAGUAUGAUUUGAUAAUAUGAGCAUUUUAAGAAAUGUAUUUCGUAUAUUUAUACAUAGUUCAACCUGAAGCAACGUGUUUUGUUAAACUCAUAGAUCACGGGUUCUAGCCGUGAAAUAUGAUUGCAUCAGAAUAGGUUGUCUACAUCACAUCUCCUUGGAGUACAGCCUUUCCCCGGAUCCUGCGUAAACACAAGAUACUGCAUCAUAUCGGGCUGCCCUUUGCCUUAGUUAAACCCAUAGAACUGGCCCUACAUCAGUAUCUUGUGCUAUUAGUCUUAGAAUUCUUGUUUUUGUUCUCUACAGAAGCAGUAUUUCAGUAAAAACUAAGAAGCCACAUUCUUAUGCAAACUGAAAGUUCGUUGUCUCUUAAUCCAAUAUUCCAAUCAGUCAAGAUAGCAACAUUAACAUGGAUCCGUUCCUGUAUGUAAGAAUCAAAUUUCCCAAUAAUCCUUACACCAUAUAUUCCAGAUGAAAUCCAGGAUGUUUAUAUUUUCGAACGUGUUCAUUUUUUCACUUUAUCUAUAUAUGUUUGAAACAAUUAGUAUUCUUAAACAACUCAAAAAACAUAUUGUAUUCCUAAUAUAAUUAAGCUCUAGUCCAAGAUUAGUGAUCAGCUUUAUAUGUUUCCCUUCUCAACCACAAAUUUCAUGUUCAGAAUGCGGAUCCAGGAUUUGAAAUUUAUGGUACAAUCACGCGCAUCAUGAAUAUUGAUUGGACUGGUAAGAUUCGCGCAUACAAAACAACAUAUGUGCUAGCUUGUCUUUCUUGGCCUUUUCAUUUCCAGUAUAAAAGCAGAACAUCAAGCCAUGGCUCACAUAGUUGCCAAUCCUCUUCGAAUUCAAAAAUUGUAACAAGUUUUACAUGUUUUUUUUAUUUUUUUUACUAAGCCUCUGUUAUUUAGUGGAUACACAAUUUGUUAAUCUGAAUUGUUUUUAUCAUAAUCUUGAUUGUUAAAGAUUAUUGAACCUUGUUACUCUUUAAAAGUAUUGUCCCUAUUAUCAAUACUCAUUCUUUAGCUUGUGUUAAAUCAACUAUCUUUGCUGAAAAAAUAAAACUAUUGGGAGAAGGUAAAGACAAAAUGAAGCCAACCAUGGAACAAAACUGCUGCUAUAUUAACAAAUAAAGUUUGGAUUUCCAAUGAAUAUUACAACAACAUACACCUAGUAUUCAAAAGUUGAAAAGAAAAGACUUUCUCAAGUAGUAACCUAUACAUACUAAUUUUGUAACCAAUGCUUCCUCAAAGUUCUUCAGUCGAUUAAACUCACUUAUCUUCUCUGGAAAUUGAACGCCUUGAUGGCAAAGGCAAAUGUAAAGGCAAACAUAAAGACAUAUGCAGUGAGCACAGCUGCAACAACUCCAAGAAAAUCAUGCUUAAAGCCAAAGUAACGUCUCAAGAAUUGUUCCACAGUUUCAUUAUCAGAUAGUUUCGUUUGGAUGUCUCCGAAUUGUGAUGCAACCAAACCAUACAAGGUCCAUGCAACAGGGUUAGCCCAGUAGUACCAUCUCCACCAUACAGGCAUACGCUGUAGUAAACAAAACAAAAAAUGUCAUUUUUUCGAGCUAGAGAUCCAUUUUGCAUUUGUAUCUUAUAACUAGGCUAUAAGAGUUUGAGGAUCUUACAGGUCGUGGAAUGAUGAAUCCCGAGAAGAGAUUCCAUACACCAUAGAAGAAGGCAGCAACAAUUGAAGCCACGUUUUGAUUUGGUGUGACAGCCACACCCAUCAUACCGUAGAAUGUAAAGUACAAAAGGGUGAAAAACAUGAUGAACAAGUACCAAAAGAACUUGCCAACAUCCCAUUCGAAUCCAAUCAUAGCAUAGACGAUGAUACCAUAAAACACAGAUUGUACAAAUAUGUAAGGGAUUUCAAUGGAAACCUGCAAAUAUAGGAAGUUUUCAUGAAUACUAGGAACUGAAUUCAAAUCUGAAGUUGGUAUAUUUACCAGAAAAUAGAACUUGUUUAUUCACCUGUCCAAAGGCAUAGGGGAUGGCAGAGUACAUUCCAGCAGCUCUUUCUCUGUAAAAUACUGUACGCUCAAUGGCUACAACUGGUUGCACUGAUGAUGCAUUUUGUACACCAAGGAAGAGAACAGCAGCAUACAUUGAUCCCAUGGCGUUUAAAAGAUCUUGGCUCUUGCUCCUACAGCAAAUAAAUUCCAGUUUAGUAUUAAGGAUUUUAAGUAGUAAUCUACUUUCUAUAAUUGUUUAGUUUUCAUGAUUCUGUGCUUACACUUUAGUACCAAGAUCCCAGAACAUUGUCCCGAAGAUUAGUGCUAUGAAUGUCGUGAAGAUGAAUCUGACUGCGGUGUAAGCUGGAUUACGCCAGUAUGACCAGUGUUGCUUCCAUAGGCAAGCCACACAUUGCGUCCAGAAUGAUUGUGAGUAUUGAGUUUCAAAAUGCAAGUCCUUUGAACCAGGGCGAGGGACGCCUAAUUCACUAAUCAAUGCUUUGUUCCUCCUGUACAGGUCUGAGUUCUUGUAUACCUCGGUGAAAUCAAUGCCUAACAUCAUUUCUUGAGCUGAGGCUGUGACUUCUAACAUCCAAGUUGCUGGGUUGUAACCCUCCUUGAUUUUUGCUACCCCAGGAUUUGACUGUAUUCAAG
This 22093-nucleotide long non-coding RNA is filed under the name Nicotiana tabacum (common tobacco). RNAcentral's name for it is "long non-coding RNA (NTAB_LNC005603)". Lineage: Eukaryota; Viridiplantae; Streptophyta; Magnoliopsida; Solanales; Solanaceae. The record is from RNAcentral.